This is a non-coding RNA of Phrynosoma platyrhinos (Desert horned lizard), 71 nucleotides long. The record is from the annotation of a GenBank genome assembly. Lineage: Eukaryota; Metazoa; Chordata; Lepidosauria; Squamata; Phrynosomatidae.
GUCAGUGUGGCGUAGUGGUUUGUGUGUUGGACACAACUUUGGAGACCAGGGUUGGAUUCCCUGCUCAGCCA